Molecule: long non-coding RNA, 1110 nt
Filed under: Mytilus galloprovincialis (Mediterranean mussel)
Lineage: Eukaryota; Metazoa; Mollusca; Bivalvia; Mytilida; Mytilidae
Source: RNAcentral
CUGGUUAAACGAUGUAUAAAGGAGGAAAAAAUUGCAGAUAUUGCAUUACGAUGCUUUCUACCUAAUAGCACGUGGAUAUGUUUACAUAUUUAGACUUGACCCAGUAUGACCCGUACCUUGUAGGUCACCGCCGUCGUUUAAACACUAGACUACAGUCGUGUAUAAGACAAUAAAAUGCUUAAGCCUGUACUAUUUGUGUGAAGUAAAUGUGUUUUUUCUGUACAUUUAAAUUGUUUUACCUGAUAGCAAGGACGUAUAUCUAUCCGUUUCCUUCUCAAUUCACUUUGUCAAUUUCUUCGAGCUCCUUCAAAACAUACGUAUUACUGCGCCCGGAAGUGAAAAAAAUAUUAGAAAUCCUCGUAAAAUAAUGCUAUUUUCAAUUUUGUGGAAUCCAUUUUGUUAUAUUUAUUAUAUAAAGAUAAAAAAAGUUACGAUUAAUUAUGAAUUUGCAUAUCAUUAUACGGAACGUUUAUGGACUAUUUUUCCAUAGCUGUAAGUCGGUCAUUUUGGCGGGAAAUCAUGUACACAUACACACGUAGAUUGGCUGGUACCUGAUCGUAAUGUUACACAUCAGAUAUAUCAAAUAGCUAAUACCCGGAACGUAGUACCGGGAACCAGGAUAAUACGUAGACAACAUACAUAACUAAUACCGAAAUUGAAAACGCUUUACGGUUUCUCGUUUAUAAACUGAAUUCCGCUUUGAAUUAUAGAAGAUGCAAUAUUAAUCAUGUUCAGUCGACUUUUCAUUGUUAUAUCAACGUCUGAACUAAUUAAAAAAUCUUUAGAUCUCAGAUAACACUCGAAAUUGACCCGACCUCUUUCCACACGGAAUACAAAUAAUGAUAGUUUGUAGUCAGGUUGACUGCUUAUAAUGCAAAAUACACAUUAAUAACAAGUUCUAUAAAACGAACAAUACACACUGAUCGUUUCUUUAGUCCCCAAUGUAAAUGAAAGAAACAAAAACCAUAUCAUACCAUAAAAAGAAGAGGAGAAAUUCGAACAUUUCCGGAUCUUUUUCUGGCCAAAAGACCCCCUGCAUAGAUUGCGUAUGAAAAGAUUAACCUCAUGACUUGAAAGUCAGGCCUUAAAGCACUGCCUUUAAAAACUAUA